This 2447-nucleotide ribosomal RNA is filed under the name Escherichia coli. Its description in RNAcentral is "bacterial LSU rRNA". It matches the Rfam family "Bacterial large subunit ribosomal RNA", at positions 398 to 2826 of the family's 2925-position model. The record is from RNAcentral. Lineage: Bacteria; Pseudomonadati; Pseudomonadota; Gammaproteobacteria; Enterobacterales; Enterobacteriaceae.
UGUGAGCUCGAUGAGUAGGGCGGGACACGUGGUAUCCUGUCUGAAUAUGGGGGGACCAUCCUCCAAGGCUAAAUACUCCUGACUGACCGAUAGUGAACCAGUACCGUGAGGGAAAGGCGAAAAGAACCCCGGCGAGGGGAGUGAAAAAGAACCUGAAACCGUGUACGUACAAGCAGUGGGAGCACAGAGCAAUCUGUGUGACUGCGUACCUUUUGUAUAAUGGGUCAGCGACUUAUAUUCUGUAGCAAGGUUAACCGAAUAGGGGAGCCGAAGGGAAACCGAGUCUUAACUGGGCGUUAAGUUGCAGGGUAUAGACCCGAAACCCGGUGAUCUAGCCAUGGGCAGGUUGAAGGUUGGGUAACACUAACUGGAGGACCGAACCGACUAAUGUUGAAAAAUUAGCGGAUGACUUGUGGCUGGGGGUGAAAGGCCAAUCAAACCGGGAGAUAGCUGGUUCUCCCCGAAAGCUAUUUAGGUAGCGCCUCGUGAAUUCAUCUCCGGGGGUAGAGCACUGUUUCGGCAAGGGGGUCAUCCCGACUUACCAACCCGAUGCAAACUGCGAAUACCGGAGAAUGUUAUCACGGGAGACACACGGCGGGUGCUAACGUCCGUCGUGAAGAGGGAAACAACCCAGACCGCCAGCUAAGGUCCCAAAGUCAUGGUUAAGUGGGAAACGAUGUGGGAAGGCCCAGACAGCCAGGAUGUUGGCUUAGAAGCAGCCAUCAUUUAAAGAAAGCGUAAUAGCUCACUGGUCGAGUCGGCCUGCGCGGAAGAUGUAACGGGGCUAAACCAUGCACCGAAGCUGCGGCAGCGACGCUUAUGCGUUGUUGGGUAGGGGAGCGUUCUGUAAGCCUGUGAAGGUGUGCUGUGAGGCAUGCUGGAGGUAUCAGAAGUGCGAAUGCUGACAUAAGUAACGAUAAAGCGGGUGAAAAGCCCGCUCGCCGGAAGACCAAGGGUUCCUGUCCAACGUUAAUCGGGGCAGGGUGAGUCGACCCCUAAGGCGAGGCCGAAAGGCGUAGUCGAUGGGAAACAGGUUAAUAUUCCUGUACUUGGUGUUACUGCGAAGGGGGGACGGAGAAGGCUAUGUUGGCCGGGCGACGGUUGUCCCGGUUUAAGCGUGUAGGCUGGUUUUCCAGGCAAAUCCGGAAAAUCAAGGCUGAGGCGUGAUGACGAGGCACUACGGUGCUGAAGCAACAAAUGCCCUGCUUCCAGGAAAAGCCUCUAAGCAUCAGGUAACAUCAAAUCGUACCCCAAACCGACACAGGUGGUCAGGUAGAGAAUACCAAGGCGCUUGAGAGAACUCGGGUGAAGGAACUAGGCAAAAUGGUGCCGUAACUUCGGGAGAAGGCACGCUGAUAUGUAGGUGAAGUCCCUCGCGGAUGGAGCUGAAAUCAGUCGAAGAUACCAGCUGGCUGCAACUGUUUAUUAAAAACACAGCACUGUGCAAACACGAAAGUGGACGUAUACGGUGUGACGCCUGCCCGGUGCCGGAAGGUUAAUUGAUGGGGUUAGCGGUAACGCGAAGCUCUUGAUCGAAGCCCCGGUAAACGGCGGCCGUAACUAUAACGGUCCUAAGGUAGCGAAAUUCCUUGUCGGGUAAGUUCCGACCUGCACGAAUGGCGUAAUGAUGGCCAGGCUGUCUCCACCCGAGACUCAGUGAAAUUGAACUCGCUGUGAAGAUGCAGUGUACCCGCGGCAAGACGGAAAGACCCCGUGAACCUUUACUAUAGCUUGACACUGAACAUUGAGCCUUGAUGUGUAGGAUAGGUGGGAGGCUUUGAAGUGUGGACGCCAGUCUGCAUGGAGCCGGCCUUGAAAUACCACCCUUUAAUGUUUGAUGUUCUAACGUUGGCCCCUGAUCGGGGUUGCGGACAGUGUCUGGUGGGUAGUUUGACUGGGGCGGUCUCCUCCUAAAGAGUAACGGAGGAGCACGAAGGUUGGCUAAUCCUGGUCGGACAUCAGGAGGUUAGUGCAAUGGCAUAAGCCAGCUUGACUGCGAGCGUGACGGCGCGAGCAGGUGCGAAAGCAGGUCAUAGUGAUCCGGUGGUUCUGAAUGGAAGGGCCAUCGCUCAACGGAUAAAAGGUACUCCGGGGAUAACAGGCUGAUACCGCCCAAGAGUUCAUAUCGACGGCGGUGUUUGGCACCUCGAUGUCGGCUCAUCACAUCCUGGGGCUGAAGUAGGUCCCAAGGGUAUGGCUGUUCGCCAUUUAAAGUGGUACGCGAGCUGGGUUUAGAACGUCGUGAGACAGUUCGGUCCCUAUCUGCCGUGGGCGCUGGAGAACUGAGGGGGGCUGCUCCUAGUACGAGAGGACCGGAGUGGACGCAUCACUGGUGUUCGGGUUGUCAUGCCAAUGGCACUGCCCGGUAGCUAAAUGCGGAAGAGAUAAGUGCUGAAAGCAUCUAAGCACGAAACUUGCCCCGAGAUGAGUUCUCCCUGACUCCUUGA